Molecule: ribosomal RNA, 540 nt
Filed under: Escherichia coli
Lineage: Bacteria; Pseudomonadati; Pseudomonadota; Gammaproteobacteria; Enterobacterales; Enterobacteriaceae
Description: bacterial SSU rRNA
Rfam family: Bacterial small subunit ribosomal RNA
Source: RNAcentral
AAAUUGAAGAGUUUGAUCAUGGCUCAGAUUGAACGCUGGCGGCAGGCCUAACACAUGCAAGUCGAACGGUAACAGGAAGCAGCUUGCUGCUUCGCUGACGAGUGGCGGACGGGUGAGUAAUGUCUGGGAAACUGCCUGAUGGAGGGGGAUAACUACUGGAAACGGUAGCUAAUACCGCAUAAUGUCGCAAGACCAAAGAGGGGGACCUUCGGGCCUCUUGCCAUCGGAUGUGCCCAGAUGGGAUUAGCUUGUUGGUGGGGUAACGGCUCACCAAGGCGACGAUCCCUAGCUGGUCUGAGAGGAUGACCAGCCACACUGGAACUGAGACACGGUCCAGACUCCUACGGGAGGCAGCAGUGGGGAAUAUUGCACAAUGGGCGCAAGCCUGAUGCAGCCAUGCCGCGUGUAUGAAGAAGGCCUUCGGGUUGUAAAGUACUUUCAGCGGGGAGGAAGGGAGUAAAGUUAAUACCUUUGCUCAUUGACGUUACCCGCAGAAGAAGCACCGGCUAACUCCGUGCCAGCAGCCGCGGUAAUACGGAG